RNAcentral lists this ribosomal RNA (305 nucleotides) under uncultured bacterium. RNAcentral's name for it is "bacterial SSU rRNA". It matches the Rfam family "Bacterial small subunit ribosomal RNA", at positions 333 to 655 of the family's 1533-position model. The record is from RNAcentral.
UUCGUCCUACGGGACGCAGCAGUGGGGGAUAUUGCACAAUGGGGGAAACCCUGAUGCAGCAACGCCGCGUGAGUGACGAAGGUCUUCGGAUUGUAAAACUCUGUUCUUGGUGAAGAUAAUGACGGUAGCCAAGGAGAAAGCUCCGGCUAACUACGUGCCAGCGGCCGCGGUAAUACGUAGGGAGCGAGCGUUGUCCGGAAUUACUGGGUGUAAAGGGUGCGUAGGCGGCCUUGCAAGUCAGGCGUGAAAACCAUGGGCUCAACCCGUGGACUGCGUUUGACACUGUGAGGCUUGAGUGAAGUAGG